AAAUAAUUUUCAAAUAUUUAUUUGAUUAAUCAUUCCAAGGCUUAAUUGUUUACUGAGUACCUCCUAAGUCCCAAACCCUGGAUAUACCAUGGUGAGUAAAAGAUGUGGUCUUUGCCCUCAUGCAGUUGAUAGUCUAAAAGCAGAGUUGUUCAUGCAAAUGAAUAUAAAAUUCCAAUGAAGAUAAGUGUUGGAAAUGGUGUUUAUGUGGGACAUGACUGCAUACAAGAAGGUAAUCUGAUUUAGUAUGUGAAAUCAGGGAAGGCUUCCUUGAGAAGUGACAAAACGAGGGUUAAGAGUGAGCCCAGUGAGGCGAUGAGAGCAAUCCUGUGCCAAGGGAGCAGCAUGCGUCAAGACACUGUGCCUGAAGGAAGCAUUGCAUUACAGAGAUUUCAAAGACCUUUUUGGAACAAAAAGCAAAGAAAGGCUGUAGGAAACGAGGUAAAAAGAUAGACAUUGCAGAGAAUAUGUGUUCUUCAUUUCAUUUACAUAGAAGUUUUUUAAACACUGAGGUGAAAUUCAUAUACCAUAAAGUUGACAACUGAAAACAAUUCAGCGGAAUGUCAUACAUUCUCAGUGUUGUGCAACCACCUCCUCCAUCUAGUUCCAAAGCAUUUCAUCACUCCAAAAGGAAACUAAUACCCAUUAAGCAGUCUGUGUUCAUCUCUCCCUGUCCCCAGCCCCUGGGAAUUAAUAAUCUGCUUUCUUUCUCUUUUUUUUUGGAGACGGAGUUUCGCUCUUGUCACCCAGGCUGGAGUGCAAUGGUGUGAUCUCAGCUCACUGCAACCUCUGCCUCCUGGGUUCAAGUGAUUCCCCUGCCUCAGCCUCCCGAGUAGCUGGGAUUACAGGUGCGUCCCACCACACCCAGCUAAUUUUUGUAUUAUUAGUAGAGACUGAGUUUCACCAUGUUGGCUAAUUUGGUCUUGAACUCCUGACCUCAGAUGAUCCACCCGCCUCAGCCUCCCAAAGUGCUGGGAUUAUAGGCAUGAGCCACCACUCCCGGCCUAUUAAUCUGCUUUCUAUCUCUAUAGACUUAUCUAUUUUGGAUAUGUCAUGCAAAUGAAAUCAUACAAUAUGUGGUCUUUUGUGUCUGGCUUCCUUCACUUAAUAUAUUUUCAAUGUUCAUCCAAUGUUGUAGCAUGAACCAGUACUUCAUUCCUUUUGAUGGCUAAAUAAAAUUCCAUUGCAUGUAUGUAUCACAUCUGUUUAUUCACUCAUUUGUUGAUGAACAUUUGGCCUGUUUCUACCUUUGAGUUAUUGUGAAUAAAGCUGCUGUGAACAUUAGAGUGCA
This 1288-nucleotide long non-coding RNA is filed under the name Macaca fascicularis (crab-eating macaque). RNAcentral describes it as "lncRNA (ENSMFAG00000065045.1)". The record is from RNAcentral. Lineage: Eukaryota; Metazoa; Chordata; Mammalia; Primates; Cercopithecidae.